Molecule: long non-coding RNA, 2903 nt
Filed under: Triticum aestivum (bread wheat)
Lineage: Eukaryota; Viridiplantae; Streptophyta; Magnoliopsida; Poales; Poaceae
Description: long non-coding RNA (TAES_LNC004382)
Source: RNAcentral
CCCCGUUCUCGUCCCUGUACGCCCCCGCCACCCGCUACUACCUCCACUGCAGGUGAGCCACCGCACCCACGCCCUCCUGUGGUGUGCCCUCCUCCAUCACGCCCGCAUCCGCAACCUCGUCGGCUUCAGGAGCAGUGGGUUGCGCUUCCACUUCCUCAAGUGCGUUGCAGGUCCUACUAGGGCCUCCUCUGGUUUUGCCCCUCAUCGACGAAGAAGCUGCAGUGCUGGAGCUUGCAGUAGGUUGCAGUUCGGAAAAAAUUGAAUAAAAAGUUAUAGUGCUGCUGAAAGACACAAUUUAGAGAUGUUGUCGUCGACGUUCUCCUCCAUUGAUGCAGGCUGUUGCUCUCUCUCCCUCACAAUCUCUCUCUCUCUCUCUUAUGAAUUUGGAUAUCACCUACUGAUGUACUUCACCAUUCCCUAAAAAAAGGUACUACCCAGCUAGCGCUAUAGUUCAAGUUUGCAGCUGCUCUUUGCUUGCAUCUGAAUUUCAAGUUUGCAGACGACGAACAUGUUGUAGAUGGUCGGUAUGGCGGCGCCCAGAAUGAAGGACAAACAAGCAAAACUGCUAGUGUUGCUGCCUCCCUCGUCUUCAUUUUCCUGACUAGAAAAACAUCAUUCUCCCUCUCCUUCAGAAACUGUUGAUCUGAAACUGACCAAAAAACUGCUAGUGUUGCUGCAAAUUUACCCCUCAAAGAGACAAGCAAAACCCGCAGAAGUCCAUAAAUUGUAGCAGCUUCAGUUCAUUAUGAAAAGAAGGAGCGAAAAAAUGUUCGUGUAAUGGAUCGUUGAUUCACUAGGUGCAUAAUAGUUGUUUGGGAAAGUUCAACUUCAUUAUUACGGUGCACUUCAUGUCAAUCCCCAACUAGCAAAUUAUAGAAAAAAGUGAAACAUGGUUUACAUGUUGAAGUUUGUGUGUGUUUAGUUUGCUUGGUCUGUGUUACCUGCUAAUGCCUUACUUGUGUUCCUGAUUAUUUUAACUCCGAACAUGUUGAGGUGGCUUUGGACUUCAGCGACAAGGCGAGCUCAGAAAAACUCGCCGCCCCUCAGGUCGAGCUCAACUGCUCGUGUCUAAGGUCGCUCCUCCCGCUGCUCGUCACCGGCCAAGAUGGUGCGAGGCCGAGCUUUUGCACCAGGUCAACGCGACCUCCCGUCGGUGACUCCCUGAGACAGAGGCAUGCACAUCCUUGUCCGCCUUGUAUGCCGUCCAGCAGCCCUUCUGUCGCCGCGUCUGUGAUCUGCCUCCGUAGCUGCCAUGUUGGUGCCUACAAGUUGCAACCUGUAGUCAAGAUCCUGGGUGCUCCAUGCGUCUCGCUGCAGUCCAGAUUGGGGUAUAGACACCGUCCAAGUAAGAACAAUGGUGUAAAUUAGUAUAUCCUAUGACUCUUGCAGGGGGAAAAUCAGAUGUUGAUAUUCAGAAAUACACUCUCGAAAGAUUUUCUGAAAUCUUGAUAACAUGUUAUUUUGCAUAAUGGAUGUUUGUGUUCUUUUCAUUGUUAAUCAAUUUUCCCAAUUUUUUUCUCCAUGCAUUCCUCUAUUCUCACUGAACCUGUAUAGUUCUCUGAACUUACUGAUAUAUUAAGUGAAAUUUAUUUUUAUAGUAGUUUUGGAUCCAAAACUAGUGUUAGCUUCUUGUUUUUAAAUUUUCUUGUAUACUAGUUGCCCCUUAUCAUCUACUCCCUCCGUUCCUAAAUAUUUGUCUUUCUAGACAUUUCAAAUGACUACCACAUACGGAUGUAUGUAGACAUAUUUUAGAGUGUAGAUUCACUCAGUUUGCUCCGUAUGUAGUCACUUGUUGAAAUGCCUAGAAAGACAAGUAUUUAGGAACGGAGGGAGUACAUCAGAUGGCAUGAGUGGAUCAUCUUGUCUUUUCAGAGACCGAAUCUCAUGCUAUGUAAAUUUGGCAGAAUAUGUGAUGAAUAAUUGCUACUCUCUGUGUAUUUUUUAUUUCCAAACUCCUGCGCCCACUUAUAAAAAAUGCAUAUCCCCAAGCUCUAAUGUUUUACAACUUAAAAGUUGAGGGAAAACAGAACCGUGGAACUUCAGGUAUGAAACUGCAUGACGUUCAAAUAUAUAAAAAAAUUGCAUUUGAUUUGGUCUCGUCUUGCAUGCAGGCAACAUUUCUGUUCAGGGUCCUCAGCACCACCAGAUUCCUGGAUGUCCUUGCAGGCCAGCUCCCUAGGGAAUAUGAUGUGGUGUGUCAUGUAAAAAAAUCUCAGAUGUUAGUUAGAGAGAAAUCGUUGCUUUCCUAUAAUUCUCAUAAGUGUGGUCUCGUGAGUGUGUCAUGUACAAUUGUUCGUGUUUAAGAAGUGGGUAAACUUUUUAUGCCUUUAUGUUAGAAAAAACUGGAAUAUGAUAAACCCUUUUGGUUCUUUUUUUGUUUUCUCUUUUGUAAAUAUACUUAUUAUUAAUGAAAAUUACCCUAGAACAAUUGUUCUACGGUUGGUGCUUCAAAAAACUAUUGUCCGUGUUGGAUUAUUUGGUACAACCACAUGUAUACUUGUAAAAGAAAUACCUAUUUCCUUUACAAGGGUGUGUUUUUAUUAAGAAAAUAAAAGAAAGGAGAAGUUUAAUUUCUAAAGAUGAUGCGGUUCAACAUGCAAAACCAAUGCAAAAACUGUACAGGUUCGCCCACCAAAACUCCAUCAGUUUGCAUGGUGUGCAUGCGUGCGUUAUGUUGCUGCCGCAUGUGUCGUGUGUGUGUGUGCGCGCACACACAUGACCUGAAGAAAAGUUUCAGAUUUGCAGCCAGCUAGUGUGCACCGCAUGUGUUUGUGCUUUUGCCUCAAAAGAGAAUAGCAUUUUAAUUAUAAACAAGAAAAAAUAAUACACAUACAUAUUGUCCCAUGUAUGUGCAUAAGAUACUAGUUGCCAUGUAUUCUCGUGGUCCACAAAAUGCAAAAAAA